CCGAGCCAAGCCGCGCGGCGCGGGCCGGGGCGGUCCUUCCCCCCGAGCCAUCGGCGGGAGCGGAUCGAGCGGCGCGCGGCGGCCGCGGGCCCGAGCCAGGCUCUGGCUGCGCCUGGGCCCGUCCGGCCUAAGCGGGGACGCGGCGGACCUGGGCGCCCCCCAAACGGACGUGGCUCGGGGAGAGCCUCUCGCGCGCGCCGCGCCGCUACCCCUGCGGCACCCGUCCCUCGGCCUAGCGACCCAGCAUUUAAGGACGCCGGAGCCAGCCGGGCGCCAGCUCGCAGACUUCAUAAACUGCGUGACCGGGAGGGGAGAGUUUGAAACCUGGCUCCGGAAAAGGCCAGGCCCCUGCCCAGCCCGUCUGGACUGCGCCUCAUCCAAGCACUGCACACUCCUUGGGGCAACUAGACCAGGGCACACCCUUCAUAUAGUACGUGCAUCUGAAUUCUGCUUCAAGCCUGGCUUAAGACGGCAGGUACCAGGAAAGGUCCCAGGAAGCAGAGUCCAAGGAUAAGAUUCCAGGCGACAGAUGCUGGAAUUGAGAGCAAUCAAUUGAGGAGGAGGAUGGACAAAAUACAGUCGGAGACUGUGUCCUUCCCAUGAACAUAAGGAGAUGACAAGGGAGUCAGAAGACAAAAGCAGACAAAAGAGCAAUGAUGUAUAAUGGAAUGAGCUUUCAAAUGAAGGAGGCAAAACACAAAGAACCAUAUAACAUCUCAAAUUUAAAAUAAUUUAUAUCUACCAGGAACAAAGCCAUAAUGUGUGUUAUUGCCAUAAUGAUUAAAUGUGGUUCUUGUGUUUUGGACCAAUGAAGAAACACAAGAAUAAAAUAAGAUGAGAGAGAGAGAGAGAGAGAGAG
This 859-nucleotide long non-coding RNA is filed under the name Felis catus (domestic cat). RNAcentral describes it as "lncRNA (ENSFCAG00000052643.1)". Lineage: Eukaryota; Metazoa; Chordata; Mammalia; Carnivora; Felidae. The record is from RNAcentral.